RNA transcript from Clupea harengus (Atlantic herring), 4048 nucleotides. It is a transcript of the gene named endothelial differentiation-related factor 1 homolog, with no coding region annotated. The record is from RefSeq and is a predicted model, not a curated record. The transcript has 9 exons. NCBI's taxonomy places the organism in Eukaryota, Metazoa, Chordata, Actinopteri, Clupeiformes, Clupeidae.
CACACACACACACACACACAUCUGCGGUCAUGGGCUAAAAUGGUGGGAGGGUUUGUUGGGAGUCUGAUGGGUCCCAGAGGAUGAUUUGGUUGAUGAACAUGUUACUCUAUAUCACUUGAUUUGGUUGUAUUUGCUUCCACGCAUCUGAACUAAAGUGGCACUUUUCUAUCCCACAAAACAAACCACCCAGGUGUCUUUCCUUGUUGCUUUUGGGGGCACCUUUCCCUUUUUUUGUUUUUAUUUUCCACUAUCUGGACUGUAGUUUUUUGUUUGUUUUAUUUUAGCUAUAAUAGUGUAUGGUUUGUGAUUUAGGUGUGUGUUGUGUAACUCCCUGUAAACACUCCACAACGGACACGGGGUGCAAGCAAUAAACACAACCUACCUGUAACCAGAAUCAGGGUCCAAACACAGAACUCCACAUUUCAGAUGCGGGAGAUCUGAGGGAGUGCCUGCUUCUCUCGCCCUUUCUCUCUCUCGCACGCUCACACACACAAACACACACACAAUCACCACAGUGAUUGCUAAAGUGGCUCGUUGCAUCCUUAUGAUAUGAAGGGCAGUGGCAUUAGCAGUGUGUCAUACCGUAUCUCAUUAAGAAUCUCUGAAGUGGUGCGUGGAUGUCAUUUAUGGUUUCUGAUGAGGGGGGAAAAAAAGUUUUCUGCUUUGUGUUACACUACAGAUGUACAGUUUCUCUCCUGUGUUCCUGGUCUUUACGCUCAGCCUGGGGUAGACCAGACAUGAGUUUAGUCUCCAGUGUAUCACUAAUUUACAGAAGGAAAGAGAGAAAGGGGGGGUAAACAUAAUGGUAUUUGUUCAAAUGUUCAUUUUGUUCUAACAGGGUGGACUGCUUGUGUACUUUUGAGUUGGUUUUGCUGGAUAUGUGUAAUGCCUUCUAGUUGGUUUCAACCGUGUGGAAGGAGCCUGACUCGGAAGCCUCCCCACCUGGGCAGGUAUCCAUAUACACUGCCUCAGCACUUGGAACUGUUUUUGAUGGUUGCGCAGCGAUCAGUCGUUGAUGUACUGGCACACACACGUCUGCCCUUCAGCUUGUCUGUGUAGACUUGUAUUUAAAGGGCCAGCUAUGGAUAUUUUACUGUUGAUGCUUUUUUUUUUUUUUUUUUACAUAUUUAAUUUUUUGUUUAAAGGACCAGUGUUUUCCUCUAAAGCUGAUCCUCCACGCUUAUUUAUCCCUUACUGUUGUUUAUCCUUUCAAAUAUGUGAUCAUAUUUGCCCUUUUCUUGUUAAAGAUCUCAUUGAGAGAAAAAUAAAGCAGGUUGUGCUUUCUAAAAAAAAAAAAAGUAUAUUGUACAAAUUCGUGUUUGUUUGGGUUGCACCAUUGGCCUCCUUGAAAGGCAUUUGCAGGUUGUCUGUGUGUUUGUGUGUGCGGGGACGAAUGGGGAAAAUAUGAACUAGAUUAGAAGAACUAAUACAUUUUAGACUGACACAUGAAAUAUGAACACGGUGGGCAGAAUUGUUAUUUCAGAUUCAUGGAUACAAUAUGAAUAAUCAGCAACAGGCUACAUUGAUGCUGUGGCACCAUUUCUACUGUAGGAAUAAAAGUUUCCUCGUGACGUCAUCAGAUUGCUGAAUUCCAUGCAUUCCUCGGCAGACAAGACCACCCUGCAACUAGUUGCCUGGAAGAGGUUUGCCUUUUUGCGAAGACGGAAGGAUGUCUGUUAAAGAGGGGAGACCGAAUGAGGGGCUAAUGAUGAUGCAGGAACUGGAUGAUCGCCUCAAAGAGCAGAUAGACAAGCUGGAACACAUCCGCCUCUCCGUCUUAGACCUCAAAGAUAACUUCUCCGGGAACUCUGCAAAGGACUUGAAACAGUCCAUUGCUGAACACGUGGACUGGUUGAGCCAUCUUACCGAGCGGGUGGAGACACUCCAGAUGAACACGUCUGUGUUUGUCCAGAUGAACACUAAGCCACGAUCCUGGAAAGGCAAGCAGGGCCUCCGGCAGUCUGCCCGCUGGGGUCGGUCACACCUGGCUGAGGACGCCCAGUCUGAGUAUGGAUGGUCCCCCAUUCGUACCCGACGCAACAGUGAUGCUGCCUCAGAGAUGUCCUGUGCCUGGUAACCCAGGUAACCAAGUCAACCACAAAGCUGCCUCCAGAAUCCUUUAGAUGUGCCACAAUGACCCAGAGUGAUGACCAUUCCUGACGAACAUGGGACUGUCAAAAUCAGUGUUGCACACGAAAAUCAAGGCUUUUUGUGUGUUUGUUAGUCUGCUUGUUUAUUUUGUCAGUUGUUAGCUUUGUUAUAGUAAACCAAAAAAAAAUUCUGAUAGUCUCUGAAUCAUAAAAUUAAAUGUUUGGAUGCCACAAUAAACAGUCUCAAAAGUUGUAUUUGCCUAGAUCCUACAUCCUCUUUAAUCCAUUUGUGAGUCAUGUUUUAAUGAAUUUGUCCUCAGUACUCUAGUGAAAAACAAACAUUAACUAUUCCAGUCAGCCACGAGAUAUACAGUUUUACUUUGUUACAGAAAUAAAUGUUUUGGUCUUAAAAUCCCAGUCUCAUGUUUAGGCAACGUUACUCGUGCUGUAGAUCAGUACAAAUAAUUAUUCGGAUGUAACCAAUAACAAGCAAAUUCAGAACCUUAUGUGUGUGCACAUAUUUUGUUUUGUGUGUGUGUCGGGUGAAACUAGGUUACUGAAGUAACAGAGACAGAAAGUUGCUAAACGAAUAAAUACCACGCUAGUUCUGGUGCAUUCUAGAAAAGUCGGAUUUUGUUUCUCCGGUGUGCCACAUGACUGUUGUUUUAAAUAAAUUCUAGGAGACUUCCAAAUGUGGGGCGUGCUUCAUGUGACGCAGUGCACUCAUACCAACAGUGGAAGUGGUGAGAAGAGCUGUCUUCUUGACCAUAAGAAACUGAAGAUUUUGAACGCGGCGUCAAUUCUUCCAGGGUUAUUUUGUAUAUUGCUUUAGUUAGUUAACUUAUUUGGAAACCAUGGCCGAAAGCGACUGGGAUUCUGUGACUGUCUUGAGGAAGAAAGGCCCGUCGUCAGCGCAGGCGAAAUCAAAGCAGGUAGUUAGCGAUAGCGUAGCAUUAUGGAGGUUAGGGAAUCAUGCAGAAAGGUUCCAUACCUGCGCUUGGCUGUAGCCUCUGCCCGAGCUGACGGGCGUGCUAAUAAAUCUCGGGGACUUGACACAUAUCGCAGGGCCACUCUUGGCUCACUACUGCGAGGUAAAAAAGAGCUUUGUGUUACUAAUCGUGGCACCUAACCUUACAGACAGAUGGUGGCUUAUUAGGGGGGCGGCAGUGUUGUUAUUCUGAUGUGGUUAACUUUCUUGCUGGCUAAAUCAGUGUUUCUCAAUGUGUGGUCCACGGGCCGUCAGUGUUUGAUUGUAACGUCAGAGAUAUUCUUGGAAACUGGUUGUGCAUUCAUGACGGAUACAUCUUUUCGAUACACAGCUAGCCAUCUAAACUGGCGAUGUUUGCAAAAUGCACCACGCAAGUAGGCAUCAGGAGCGACUGACAUUGGGUCAACAACAUGUGAAUCAAGUGAGAGACACGAAGAGGUUACGGUAAAAAGUAAGAGCCGGAACUGUUCCUGUCAUUUCCCAGGCCAUAACAGCUGCACAGAGGCGCGGCGAAGAGGUUGAAACCACAAAGAAAUGGGCUGCGGGUCAGAACAAGCAGCACCUGGUGACCAAGAACACAGCCAAGCUGGACCGGGAGACGGAGGAGCUGCACCACGUCAGAGUGCCCCUGGAGGUGGGCCGGGUCAUUCAACUGGGCCGCGCCAACAAAGGGCUCAGCCAGAAAGAUCUGGCCACGUAGGAUAGGCUGUAGGGGCAGGCCGAACCACAUGCCUGUUCAUGACCAUUACACAGGUUGUCAUGCAUGGGGAGUUUUCCAGAGAACCUGAAUCAUUGUUGAGGGAUUUCCUGCUUCCAGACAGUAAACUGACUGUUUGAAUCAACUGAAAAGGAAAAAAUCAAUGAGAAACCUCAGGUCAUUGCUGACUAUGAAACCGGAAAGGCAAUCCCCAACAACCAAGUAAUGAGCAAGAUUGAAAGAGCCAUUGGCCUGAAGCUACGCGGGAGGGAG